Molecule: ribosomal RNA, 253 nt
Filed under: uncultured bacterium
Lineage: Bacteria
Description: partial 16S ribosomal RNA
Rfam family: Bacterial small subunit ribosomal RNA
Source: RNAcentral
UACGUAGGGACCAAGCGUUGUUCGGAUUUACUGGGCGUAAAGGGCGCGUAGGCGGCUUGACAAGUCACUUGUGAAAUCUCCGGGCUUAACUCGGAACGGCCAAGUGAAACUGUCAUGCUAGAGUGCAGAAGGGGCAAUCGGAAUUCUUGGUGUAGCGGUGAAAUGCGUAGAUAUCAAGAGGAACACCUGAGGUGAAGACGGGUUGCUGGGCUGACACUGACGCUGAGGCGCGAAAGCCAAGGGAGCAAACGGG